Molecule: ribosomal RNA, 249 nt
Filed under: uncultured bacterium
Lineage: Bacteria
Description: partial 16S ribosomal RNA
Rfam family: Bacterial small subunit ribosomal RNA
Source: RNAcentral
GAGUUUGAUCGUGGCUCAGGAUGAACGCUGGCGGCGUGCUUAAUACAUGCAAGUCGAGCGAAGCACUGGAAGCAGAAUCUUCGGAGGAAGCAUCCGGUGACUGAGCGGCGGACGGGUGAGUAACGCGUGGGUAACCUGCCUCAUACAGGGGGAUAACAGUUAGAAAUGGCUGCUAAUACCGCAUAAGCGCACAGUACCGCAUGGUACGGUGUGAAAACUCCGGUGGUAUGAGAUGGACCCCGCGUCUGA